This 343-nucleotide ribosomal RNA is filed under the name uncultured bacterium. RNAcentral describes it as "bacterial SSU rRNA". It matches the Rfam family "Bacterial small subunit ribosomal RNA", at positions 43 to 370 of the family's 1533-position model. The record is from RNAcentral.
GAAUUCACUAGUGAUUCAGGCCUAACACAUGCAAGUCGAGCGGUAGAGAGAAGCUUGCUUCUCUUGAAAAAAACGGACGGGUGAGUAAUGCCUAGGAAUCUGCCUGGUAGUGGGGGAUAACGUUCGGAAACGGACGGUAAUACCGCAUACGUCCUACGGGAGAAAGCAGGGGGCCUUCGGGGCCGUUGCGCUAUCAGAUGAGCCUAGGUCGGAUUGGCUAGUUGGUGAGGUAAUGGCUCACCAAGGCAACGAUCCGUAACUGGUCUGAGAGGAUGAUCAGUCACACUGGAACUGGGAUACGGUCCAGACUCCUACGGGAGGCAGCAGUGGGGAAUAUUGGACA